Molecule: ribosomal RNA, 288 nt
Filed under: uncultured bacterium
Lineage: Bacteria
Description: partial 16S ribosomal RNA
Rfam family: Bacterial small subunit ribosomal RNA
Source: RNAcentral
GUGGAUUAGAUACCCGGGUAGUCCAUGCCGUAAACGAUGUCUACUAGCCGUUGGGGCCUUUGAGGCUUUAGUGGCGCAGCUAACGCGAUAAGUAGACCGCCUGGGGAGUACGGUCGCAAGACUAAAACUCAAAUGAAUUGACGGGGGCCCGCACAAGCGGUGGAGCAUGUGGUUUAAUUCGAUGCAACGCGAAGAACCUUACCUGGCCUUGACAUACUAGAAACUUUCCAGAGAUGGAUUGGUGCCUUCGGGAAUCUAGAUACAGGUGCUGCACGGCCGUCGACAACU